Molecule: non-coding RNA, 27 nt
Filed under: Homo sapiens (human)
Lineage: Eukaryota; Metazoa; Chordata; Mammalia; Primates; Hominidae
Source: RNAcentral
UGGCUAAUUCUUGAAUAUAGGGGAUGC